CCCCGUCAAUCAAGCUAAAGUAAGUCUAGACUGGACAGUCUAAUUGCUGCACUGGUUAAAUUAUGUUCAUCAAGCUCAGUAGCGUAAAAGAAAUAUUGUCUAGCUGAGUCUGUUUCUCCAAAUAUCUGAUUGCAUAUGCCAAGACACGUACAGAAGAAUGAUUUAUCAAUUGAGGAACAUUCAUUAGUAGUUAGAUGUUUCAUAAUUGUUUGUUUUAACUGAAGCAAAGAAU
Molecule: long non-coding RNA, 232 nt
Filed under: Mytilus galloprovincialis (Mediterranean mussel)
Lineage: Eukaryota; Metazoa; Mollusca; Bivalvia; Mytilida; Mytilidae
Source: RNAcentral